Molecule: ribosomal RNA, 1339 nt
Filed under: Phytophthora cinnamomi var. parvispora
Lineage: Eukaryota; Oomycota; Peronosporomycetes; Peronosporales; Peronosporaceae
Description: eukaryotic LSU rRNA
Rfam family: Eukaryotic large subunit ribosomal RNA
Source: RNAcentral
CGCUGAACUUAAGCAUAUCAAUAAGCGGAGGAAAAGAAACUAACAAGGAUUCCCCUAGUAACGGCGAGUGAAGCGGGAAGAGCUCAAGCUUAAAAUCUCCGUGCAAGUUUUGCGCGGCGAAUUGUAGUCUAUAGAGGCGUGGUCAGCGUGGGCGCUUGGGGCAAGUUCCUUGGAAGAGGACAGCAUGGAGGGUGAUACUCCCGUUCAUCCCUGAGUGGCUCGUGCGUACGACCCGUGUUCUUUGAGUCGCGUUGUUUGGGAAUGCAGCGCAAAGUAGGUGGUAAAUUCCAUCUAAAGCUAAAUAUUGGUGCGAGACCGAUAGCGAACAAGUACCGUGAGGGAAAGAUGAAAAGAACUUUGAAAAGAGAGUUAAAGAGUACCUGAAACUGCUGAAAGGGAACCGAAUCGUUUCCAGUGUCUAUAAUCCGUGGCAUAUUUCAUUGGCGAGUGUGCGCGUGCGUGUGCUGUGGCAGUGGCUUUUUUGGCUGCGCUCGGUGCGUGUGCUGUGUGUGCUUGCUGGUGCCCUGUGCUGCGGUGGGACGUCAAGGUCAGUUCGUAUGCUGCGGGAAAUGGCUGCCGAGGAGGUAGGGCUUACGCUCCGCGUUUGUCUGUUAUAUCUUGGUGGACGAGUCGUCGCGGUUGGGACUGAGGUGCCUACAACGUGCUUUUGAGUGGGUUCGUGUCUCCGUGUGCGCCGUGUGCGGAUAGCUUGCUAUGCGUGUGUGGUUGUGUGUGGAUUGGUGCGGGCUUUAACUUGUCGCCGUUCGGGACGUUGACGAAAUGGAGCGAUCCGACCCGUCUUGAAACACGGACCAAGGAGUCUAACAUGUGUGCAAGUGUUAGGGUGUGGAAACCCCAGCGCGAAAUGAAAGUGAAGGGCAGCGCAAGUUGUCUGAGGUAGGAAACGUUGCGGGCUUCGGUCUGCGGCGUGGCACUAUCGACCGAUCAUGAACCUUCGUGGUGAAAGAUUUGAGUUUGAGCACAUAUGUUGGUACCCGAAAGAUGGUGAACUAUGCCUGAGUAGGGUGAAGCCAGGGGAAACUCUGGUGGAAGCUCGUAGCGAUUCUGACGUGCAAAUCGAUCGUCAAACUUGGGUAUAGGGGCGAAAGACUAAUCGAACCAUCUAGUAGCUGGUUCCCUCCGAAAUUUCCCUCAGGAUAGCAGCAACUUAUUUACGAUAGUUUUAUGAGGUAAAGCGAAUGAUUAGAGGAUUCGGGGAAGAAACUUCCUCGACCUAUUCUCAAACUUUAAAUCUGUAAGACCUGCAGGUUUCUUAAUUGAACUUGUGGAUGUGAAUAUCAAGUUGCUAGUGGGCCAUACGGGGUAAGCUCGUCUGGCG